RNAcentral lists this ribosomal RNA (794 nucleotides) under uncultured archaeon. Its description in RNAcentral is "bacterial SSU rRNA". It matches the Rfam family "Archaeal small subunit ribosomal RNA", at positions 85 to 879 of the family's 1478-position model. The record is from RNAcentral.
ACGGCUCAGUAACACGUGGACAACCUACCCUUAGGUCUGGGAUAACCCCGGGAAACUGGGACUAAUACCGGAUAUAUCGCAAAGGCUGGAAUGCAUCGCGAUAGAAAGCUCCGACGCCUAAGGAUGGGUCUGCGGCCUAUCAGGGUAGUAGUGGGUGUAACGUACCUACUAGCCUACGACGGGUACGGGUUGUGAGAGCAAGAUCCCGGAGAUGGAUUCUGAGACACGAAUCCAGGCCCUACGGGGUGCAGCAGGCGCGAAAACUUUACAAUGCUGGCAACAGCGAUAAGGGGACCUCGAGUGCCAGGAUACAAUCCUGGCUGUCGUAAUGUCUAAAAAACAUUGCAUAGCAAGGGCCGGGCAAGACCGGUGCCAGCCGCCGCGGUAACACCGGCGGCUCGAGUGGUAACCGUUAUUAUUGGGUCUAAAGGGUCUGUAGCCGGCUGACUAAGUCUCUUGGGAAAUCUGGCCGCUCAACGGUCAGGCUUUCAGGAGAUACUGAUCGGCUCGAGACCGGGAGAGGUGAGAGGUACCUCAGGGGUAGGGGUGAAAUCUUGUAAUCCUUGAGGGACCACCAGUGGCGAAGGCGUCUCACCAGAACGGAUCUGACGGCAAGGGACGAAAGCUAGGGGCACGAACCGGAUUAGAUACCCGGGUAGUCCUAGCCGUAAACGAUACUCGCUAGGUGUCGGCCACGGUGCGACCGUGGUCGGUGCCGUAGGGAAGCCGUGAAGCGAGCCACCUGGGAAGUACGGCCGCAAGGCUGAAACUUAAAGGAAUUGGCGGGGGAGCAC